GAUGAACGCUGGCGGCGUGCCUAAUACAUGCAAGUCGAGCGAACGGACGAGAAGCUUGCUUUUCUGAUGUUAGCGGCGGACGGGUGAGUAACACGUGGAUAACCUACCUAUAAGACUGGGAUAACUUCGGGACACCGGAGCUAAUACCGGAUAAUAUUUUGAACCGCAUGGUUCAAAAGUGAAAGACGGUCUUGCUGUCACUUAUAGAUGGAUCCGCGCUGCAUUAGCUAGUUGGUAAGGUAACGGCUUACCAAGGCAACGAUGCAUAGCCGACCGGAGAGGGUGAUAGGCCACACUGGAACUGGGACACGGUCCAGACGCCUACGGGAGGCAGCAGUAGGGAAUCUUCCGCAGUGGGCGAAAGCCUGACGGAGCAACGCCGCGUGAGUGAUGAAGGUCUUCGGAUCGUAAAACUCUGUUAUUAGGGAAGAACAUAUGUGUAAGUAACUGUGCACAUCUUGACGGUACCUAAUCAGAAAGCCACGGCUAACUACGUG
This 497-nucleotide ribosomal RNA is filed under the name uncultured bacterium. RNAcentral describes it as "partial 16S ribosomal RNA". It matches the Rfam family "Bacterial small subunit ribosomal RNA", at positions 28 to 507 of the family's 1533-position model. The record is from RNAcentral.